GACGAACCGUGCGACCGUUGUUCGGAAUCACUGGGCUUAAAGGGCGCGUAGGCGGGCUGCCAAGUCUGGGGUGAAAUCCCACGGCUCAACCGUGGAACUGCCUCGGAUACUGGCGACCUCGAGGGGGGUAGGGGCGUGCGGAACUGUGGGUGGAGCGGUGAAAUGCGUUGAUAUCCACAGGAACUCCGGUGGCGAAGGCGGCACGCUGGACCUCUUCUGACGCUGAGGCGCGAAAGCCAGGGGAGCAAACGGG
RNAcentral lists this ribosomal RNA (253 nucleotides) under uncultured bacterium. RNAcentral's name for it is "partial 16S ribosomal RNA". It matches the Rfam family "Bacterial small subunit ribosomal RNA", at positions 524 to 776 of the family's 1533-position model. The record is from RNAcentral.